This is an RNA transcript of Sphaeramia orbicularis (orbiculate cardinalfish), 1866 nucleotides long. It is a transcript of the gene named zinc finger protein OZF-like, with no coding region annotated. NCBI's taxonomy places the organism in Eukaryota, Metazoa, Chordata, Actinopteri, Kurtiformes, Apogonidae. The record is from RefSeq and is a predicted model, not a curated record. The transcript has 2 exons.
AAAUCAUGGGAAAUCUAGUCUGGGGUCCCAGUGUUUCCACGGUAACAGUGAACAUUGCAUCACUGGUUGUUGUUGGUUCUGGUCCAGUAUGUUUAGACCAUACAGUCCAGUUGGUACCGGUCCGGUAUAUUUAGACCAUGCAGUCCAGUUGGUACUGGUUCAGUAUAUUCAGAACAUGCAGCCCAGCUGGUUCCGGUCUGGCGGAUGGGGGGUUGUUGUGGUUUAAUGGUUCGAUGUUUGUUAUUGUUCUGCAGAUGUCAGUGGUAAAAGAAGCGGUUCCCCCUGAGCAGCAGAACCGGACCUCCAAUCUGGGCCAGGAGGAACCAGAACUUCUCAACAUCAAAGAGGAGGAACUGUGGACCAAUCAGGAGGUUCUGACAGAGGUGGAUUCGACCCAGUUCCUAGUGAAGAGUGAGGAUGAUGAAGACCAACCUCAGUCGUCACAGCUCCAUCGAAGACAGACUGAGCAGAACCGAGAGGGUCCAGACGGAUCAGAACCAGCCUCCAUCUUCCAUCCACAUCCUGAUGAACACACUGAGGAAUCUGAGGACACCGAGGACAGCGAAGACUGGACCCAGAGCAGUGGACCCGAGUCCACCAACAACACCAAACCUUCAGGCAGCCGUUCAGCUGGACCCACGGAACCAGAACCUGUGAAUGUAGUUGACACAGACAGUAACAUUCGAAAUAAUGACCUGAGUGGAAGAGAAGAGGGAGGGAAAAUGAAACCACAUCACUGCUCUGAAUGUGGGAAAACAUUUAGUCAGUGGUCCAAUUUGAAAAGACACAUGAGAACUCACACGGGAGAGAAACCAUUUGGUUGUUCCUAUUGUAAUACGAGGUUUACUCAAAAGUCAAGCUUAGAUAUUCACAUGAGAAUCCACACAGGAGAGAAACCCUUCAGAUGUUUGGAUUGUAACAAAUGUUUCAGCCAAAUAGGUAACUUUAGGACACAUAUGGCAGCUCACAAAGGACAGAAACACUUUGGCUGUUCAGUAUGUGGUAAAAGAUUUUCUCAAAAGUCAGAGUUACGUUAUCACAGUAGAGGACACACAGGAGAGAAACCAUUUUACUGUAAAGUAUGCGACGCAGUAUUCGCUCGAAAAUCUAUCUUAGACGUUCACAGUCGAGUCCACACAGGAGAGAAACCCUACAGCUGCUCGGUCUGUAAGAAAUGUUUCAGCCAAAAAUGUAAUUACAGGAGGCAUAUGGCAACUCACACAGGAGAGAAACUCUUUGGUUGUUCAGUGUGUGGGAAAAGAUUUGCAGAUAAGUCAACUUUAGAUACUCACCGUCGAGUUCACACGGGGGAGAAACCGUUCUGUUGUUCAGUUUGUAACAAAAGCUUUAGCCAAAAAAGCCACGUUCAGACACAUAUGAAGACCCAUGAAAGACAGGAAACACUGAGGUCAUGUGUUGGUGAUGCUGAGUGAAAAACACAGAACUGGGAAUGAAGGUUGUGGAAUGAACAGCAGGACUGUUUAGAAUGUUCUGAGCAGUGCAUUCGAAAGUGCAUGUGUGGUUUUACCAGGUCUGUACUGUGAUACCAUUCAUACUGAACCUUAAAGAGGAACGAUGUAAGUUUGGACCGUUCUGGUUCUUCCUCACUGUUUUAGUAUCAUUUUUCUCUAUGGAGCGCCCCCUACAGUUUGGACAUACAUAUUGACUGUGGUAAAACCCACCCCUAACCUCGCCCCCUCCGACCAUGUGCAUUUGUUUUCAUAAACAAUGUAUACAAAUAUCAAUCAUCAAAAGGUGUAGUAGGGUCGCAUAAGAAAAUAAAACCACCAGUCACUAUGAGAAUAAAGUUGUAAACUAGAAAAGCACUCCCCCCUGAUCACCACCAAAAUUUAAUCAUUUGUUCCU